This 27-nucleotide small RNA is filed under the name Bombyx mori (domestic silkworm). RNAcentral's name for it is "ovarian small RNA-18033". The record is from RNAcentral. Lineage: Eukaryota; Metazoa; Arthropoda; Insecta; Lepidoptera; Bombycidae.
UAAAACCAAUUUAAUGCUUGCUACUUG